RNAcentral lists this long non-coding RNA (1488 nucleotides) under Coturnix japonica (Japanese quail). RNAcentral describes it as "lncRNA (ENSCJPG00005018908.1)". Lineage: Eukaryota; Metazoa; Chordata; Aves; Galliformes; Phasianidae. The record is from RNAcentral.
GGGUCACAGCUGCGGGCUGCAGGAGACAUUGCUCCAACAGUGCAGUCAGUACUGUGCAUUCUGCCUUGUUUCUGGGGAGGCUGCCGAGCACUGAGGAGCUCUCAUCUGCAGAAGAGCAGGGGCCUUAAAACUUUGGUGUUGUGGAGAAGUGGGGAUGUUGGUGUUGGAGGAGUCUGCUGGCAUAUCUGUAUAUCUCUUUCCAGGAAUGAAGAGGCCAAAGAUCACUCCACAGAAUUUCUUCAUCCCACAGGAUCCAUUUCUUUACGAGCAAUGUUCUUAAAGGAUCCUGGGUGCACAAUAGCUUCAGGGAGGUCUGAAGGUGCGGGUCUGAGCUGUGACUCUCAGGGCAGAGGGGGAAGAACCUUCUUGCGUUACUGUAAGGGAGAGGAAGAGAUGCUGCUGUACUGAGUUUGAUGAGCAGUGGAGGAGCUUGGGCAGAGAUUCCUGUCUUCUCCAGUCAAGAAAUAAUGACGGAAGGAGGAUAAAAAUGGCUAGCACUACUGCUUAAAGGGUGGACAUCUUCUAUCUUGCUGGCAAAACAUCUGGAACUUUUUGUCAGGGUAGGAGUGCAGUCUACAUAUUCUAAAAUUGUCCAAUUUUAACUUAUUGUUACAGUGGUCUACCUGUUUGUAAAGCAACUGUAUUAGCUGCUGCCUGAGAAACAUGAUGUAAUCGUUCAGCUCCUUUUCUUUUGUUAACUCAUCACAUUUUCUCCUUAUGUCUGUUUCCACAGUGCUUGCUCUGCCUAUGCCUCAGCUGAUGACAUCAGCGGCUUUGUAGACAUAUCCUGUCUCUUCUUUCAUCUUCUUGGUGUUAGCCUGGUUAUUUCUACAAAGUACAAACCAAGACUACUUUACAGAGAAGGCAGGAAACAAGAGAGUUAUGACACUGGAAAUGGCCUAUUGUUUCUUCUCUGGCAAACUCCCUCUGGACAGCAGUUCUGGGAACUAGCUCUUUUUGUCAAGUGUUUGUUGUGAGAUGUGUUAGUGGUAUAUACCAUGGUGAAUUUGCCAGGCAUAGAGAUUCCCUUGGGGAAAAGUGCAAAGAAGCACAUUGGGCUGUCUCCAGAAGCAAAUGUUCAGAAAUGCUCUGCAAAGGUGUCUGAAACCUGAACUGUUUCCCAUCCUUAGUAAGGAUGAACACUGUCAGGGAACCCAGUUGCUAGAAGCAGUGCCUCCUGAAAGAUGGGACUUCUGAUUCUUACUUCUGACUAGGACAGAAACUUGGGCUUCACAGAAGUACAUUCUAUGAUAGACGAGAGAAAAUGAAGAUCCUCAAGGGAAGGUUAAGAUAAUUCCUCUUCCUUCCAAAACUGCCUUGCAGAAUCAGUGGAAAAUUUCUGUUCAGAACAAGGUCCUUGGCAAGGAUACACCACCAUCAGGUGAGAAGCAGAUGCCUUCAAGACCAUGCAGAGCAUUUCAACAUUCUUCUUCCUGUUUGCUCCAGGUGUAUCUCAAAAAAUAAAGCUGAGAAUGAUCUUGCCUGUCA